RNAcentral lists this ribosomal RNA (478 nucleotides) under uncultured Pseudomonadota bacterium. Its description in RNAcentral is "bacterial SSU rRNA". It matches the Rfam family "Bacterial small subunit ribosomal RNA", at positions 355 to 824 of the family's 1533-position model. The record is from RNAcentral. Lineage: Bacteria; Pseudomonadati; Pseudomonadota.
UGGGGAAUAUUGGACAAUGGGCGCAAGCCUGAUCCAGCCAUGCCGCGUGUGUGAAGAAGGCCUUCGGGUUGUAAAGCACUUUUGUACGGGAAGAAAAGCACUCGGUUAAUACCCGGGUGUCAUGACGGUACCGUAAGAAUAAGCACCGGCUAACUUCGUGCCAGCAGCCGCGGUAAUACGAAGGGUGCAAGCGUUACUCGGAAUUACUGGGCGUAAAGCGUGCGUAGGUGGUUUGUUAAGUCUGAUGUGAAAGCCCUGGGCUCAACCUGGGAAUUGCAUUGGAUACUGGCAGUCUAGAGUGCGGUAGAGGGUAGCGGAAUUCCCGGUGUAGCAGUGAAAUGCGUAGAUAUCGGGAGGAACAUCCGUGGCGAAGGCGGCUACCUGGACCAGCACUGACACUGAGGCACGAAAGGCGUGGGGAGCAAACAGGAUUAGAUACCCUGGUAGUCCACGCCCUAAACGAUGCGAACUGGAUGUU